UUGAAGGACUUGAGCGGUGCCACAGCUCCUACCUCACCUUAUCUCCUCCCUCCCUAGCUCUUUUCCCUCUCAUUCCCUCACUGGCUGCAAGUAGCAAUAGGCCCCCCUCUGCUCCUCUCCACGUUUUCCCCAUUGAGUAGCAGCUCUGUCAAAGCAAAUCCAUGGCCAUUAGGCUGCCUCUGAGGCCUCCCAACCAAACUAGAGCUCAGUGAAGCUCCUUCAAGGUCUCCUUUGCCGAAUGCCGUCUCCGAUUCGUCAAAUUCCCACCAGAAUCGUGCUCGAGCGCGGGCCAUUCUCCCCCAACGCCGAUGUUGUGCUUGGUCGACCUCACCCACGGAUCUAUCAUCCCUAACUCCAGCUACCGGCAAUGCUCUCUGCAUUCUUACCGUCUGGGUCGUCACGGCAAAUUAAUUUUCAUUAUGGCUGUUCCUUGGUGACACCCGACCACAAUCCUACACAAAUUCAUAUCUUGUUCAAGAUUUCAAUGUGGCAGAAUAGAAAAAGAGCUAUGGGAGAUCCUUAUUAAGGACCAGGAGCGCGAUAAGAUGGAGAAGAUGAUGGUCGACAUCAAAAUGCAGAUUCGGCGACUUGAGGAUAGACAUCUUGUAAUAGACAAUGGCUAGUUUAUCUACAAAAUUCUCUUGCUUUAAAUCAAUCUGUUGUUACUCUUUUGCUGUUAUUUUUGUAGAAUCUAAAGUAUGGGGGUCUUAGAGUUAUGGGUUGAUAGAUGUAUGAAUAGCGUCGCAGACUGAUCUAGGAUUAGGAAGGGAGCGUGAUGAUGUGUUUCUAAACUGUGUAAUGAACGCUGGUAACCCCAGCAGAGUAGCAGACUAUGUUUUGCUUUAUAAAAAAGCAGGGCCAAAAGCCUUUGGGCUAAAAAUAAUAAUCCGCGGAGGG
Phragmites australis (common reed) is the source of this 897-nucleotide long non-coding RNA. RefSeq lists it as uncharacterized. The transcript has 3 exons. The record is from RefSeq and is a predicted model, not a curated record. Lineage: Eukaryota; Viridiplantae; Streptophyta; Magnoliopsida; Poales; Poaceae.